Molecule: ribosomal RNA, 451 nt
Filed under: uncultured soil bacterium
Lineage: Bacteria
Description: bacterial SSU rRNA
Rfam family: Bacterial small subunit ribosomal RNA
Source: RNAcentral
AGAACGAACGCUGGCGGCAGGCCUAACACAUGCAAGUCGAACGCCCGUAGCAAUACGGGAGUGGCAGACGGGUGAGUAACGCGUGGGAACGUACCUUUCGGUUCGGAAUAACCCGGGGAAACUCGGGCUAAUACCGGAUACGUCCGCAAGGAGAAAGAUUUAUCGCCGAAAGAUCGGCCCGCGUCGGAUUAGCUAGUUGGUGAGGUAACGGCCCACAAGGCGACGAUCCGUAGCUGGUCUGAGAGGAUGAUCAGCCACACUGGGACUGAGACACGGCCCAGACUCCUACGGGAGGCAGCAGUGGGGAAUAUUGGACAAUGGGCGAAAGCCUGAUCCAGCCAUGCCGCGUGAGUGAAGAGGCCUUAGGUUGUAAAGCUCUUUCGAGCGGGGAAGAUAAUGGACGGUACCGCAGGAAGAACGUACCCGGCUAACGUUCGUGCCGAGCAGCCGC